RNAcentral lists this ribosomal RNA (301 nucleotides) under uncultured bacterium. RNAcentral describes it as "partial 16S ribosomal RNA". It matches the Rfam family "Bacterial small subunit ribosomal RNA", at positions 509 to 807 of the family's 1533-position model. The record is from RNAcentral.
CAGUAGCCGCGGUAAUACGAAGGGUGCAAGCGUUAAUCGGAAUUACUGGACGUAAAGCGCACGCAGGCGGUUUGUUAAGUCAGAUGUGAAAUCCCCGAGCUUAACUUGGGAACUGCAUUUGAAACUGGCAAGCUAGAGUCUUGUAGAGGGGGGUAGAAUUCCAGGUGUAGCGGUGAAAUGCGUAGAGAUCUGGAGGAAUACCGGUGGCGAAGGCGGCCCCCUGGACAAAGACUGACGCUCAGGUGCGAAAGCGUGGGGAGCAAACAGGAUUAGAUACCCGUGUAGUCCCUGUCUCUUAUAC